This is a long non-coding RNA of Hemicordylus capensis (graceful crag lizard), 980 nucleotides long. RefSeq lists it as uncharacterized. Lineage: Eukaryota; Metazoa; Chordata; Lepidosauria; Squamata; Cordylidae. The record is from RefSeq and is a predicted model, not a curated record. The transcript has 3 exons.
GUGUUCCCUUACUCAGCGGUGGUACUUGCUAGAUGGCCUUAUGGGCAAGUGAUUUUCUGACUGGAGGUUGACUCAUAAGCUGAUCUUCUAGGGCUCAAAUGAGAAGCCUAUUGGUCAUGGCCAUCUGAAGAGGGGCAAGAGGGAGCAGUUACCCCACCCCAUUGGAUUGAGCCAGUCCCAUUUAAUUCAAUGGGGAUUACUUCCAGGCAAAGGGAAGACAUGAAAGAACUGGAGGACCUCAAAACCAUGGCAAACCGCAUUUGCAUACUGCUUUGUACAAAAUCUAGACAAUUCACAUUGAGAGGAGGAGAAUUCCCAACACAGCACUUCCAUUUACGAAGCAAAAUUCAGUACUUCAGAACUCCAACUGUGGAAAAAUUCCAAUAAAGAAAAUGUUGGAAGCACCCCUCACAGCAAGUGGCCAGAUAUUCCCUGAGAUCCACCAUCCACUGAAUUUCUUCUACUUCUACGCAAUAGCCUAUUGAAUUAUUGUGCAGUUGCCAUUUAUUUCAAUAAGCCUUGUGCAUGAGAACCUCUCAGUGGAUUAAAUGAGAGCUAAAGAUACUAAUUUUUAGAAGUUUAGUUAAAACACAAAUGAUAUUAAAAUGCUUAUUGCCAAUUAUGGAUGGAUAUAUGUUUUUGGUAAAAAUGCAAAUUCUGUGGCCAGCCUACUGAGUUUGCUUCUUGUUUCAUUAAAAAAUUGAUGGGCUCUGAAAGUAAAGCAUUCUUUUACUAUUUGGCCUGUUCCCAAUCAUGUAACUACCCCAUCUGUAUAAACAUUGUAUUCCCCCGAUUCAUUUAAAUGUAGAUUUAGAAAUGUAGUCCAAUUCAUUUAGGUAAUCACAAGCUAAUGUAUGUGCAAAGCUUGCAGUAUAGAUAUAGUCAUAUCAUAUUUGCAGUAUUAUACUGUCAUUAUAAGCACUUUGGCACUUGGACAGUUUGGAAAAUAUUGUACAUAUACUAGUAAACCCUUCACACAA